RNAcentral lists this unclassified non-coding RNA (240 nucleotides) under soil metagenome. Its description in RNAcentral is "partial contains 5.8S ribosomal RNA, internal transcribed spacer 2, and large subunit ribosomal RNA". The record is from RNAcentral.
AACAAGGCGUACCUGCGGACCUGCGGAAGGAUCAUUACAGAGUUGCAAAACUCCCUAAACCAUUGUGAACGUUACCUAAACCGUUGCUUCGGCGGGCGGCCCGGGUCCUUCCCGGCGCCCCUCGGCCCUCGCGGGCGCCCGCCGGAGGUAAACCAAACUAUUGCAUUGUAUGGCCUCUCUGAGUCUUCUGUACUGAAUAAGUCAAAACUUUCAACAAUGGAUCUCAGAUCGGAAGAGCAC